Molecule: unclassified non-coding RNA, 228 nt
Filed under: uncultured fungus
Lineage: Eukaryota; Fungi
Description: sequence contains ITS1, 5.8S rRNA gene
Rfam family: 5.8S ribosomal RNA (bases 180-228)
Source: RNAcentral
UCUCCGUAGGUGAACCUGCGGAGGGAUCAUUACUGAGUGAGGGUCUCCGGGCUCGACCUCCAACCCUUUGUGAACACAACUUGUUGCUUCGGGGGCGACCCUGCCGUUUCGACGGCGAGCGCCCACGGAGGCUCAUUGAACACUGCAUCUUUGCGUCGGAGUUUAAGUAAAUUAAACAAAACUUUCAACAACGGAUCUCUUGGUUCUGGCAUCGAUGAAGAACGCAGC